UACGUAGGGUGCGAGCGUUAAUCGGAAUUACUGGGCGUAAAGCGUGCGCAGGCGGUUUGUUAAGACAGAUGUGAAAUCCCCGGGCUUAACCUGGGAACUGCAUUUGUGACUGGCAAGCUAGAGUAUGGCAGAGGGGGGUAGAAUUCCACGUGUAGCAGUGAAAUGCGUAGAGAUGUGGAGGAAUACCGAUGGCGAAGGCAGCCCCCUGGGCCAAUACUGACGCUCAUGCACGAAAGCGUGGGGAGCAAACAGGG
Molecule: ribosomal RNA, 254 nt
Filed under: uncultured bacterium
Lineage: Bacteria
Description: partial 16S ribosomal RNA
Rfam family: Bacterial small subunit ribosomal RNA
Source: RNAcentral